RNAcentral lists this small RNA (660 nucleotides) under Mrakia cf. frigida 52b. RNAcentral's name for it is "eukaryotic LSU rRNA". The stretch from base 144 to 297 matches the Rfam family "5.8S ribosomal RNA". Lineage: Eukaryota; Fungi; Basidiomycota; Tremellomycetes; Cystofilobasidiales; Mrakiaceae. The record is from RNAcentral.
UCUUCAUUGACCUCUCACCCUUCACAUCCACAUACACCUGUGCACCGUUUGGCUCUUAUAAAAGACGCAAGUCUGCAAUGAGAGUCAUCAAUUUUAUACAUACCCCAGUCUUAUGAAUGUAACAGUUUUAAUAAACAUAAUAAAACUUUUAACAACGGAUCUCUUGGUUCUCGCAUCGAUGAAGAACGCAGCGAAAUGCGAUAAGUAAUGUGAAUUGCAGAAUUCAGUGAAUCAUCGAAUCUUUGAACGCACCUUGCGCUCCUUGGUAUUCCGAGGAGCAUGCCUGUUUGAGUGUCAUGAAACUCUCAACCUUCAACUUUUUUAUUAAGGCUGAAGGCUUGGACUUGAGCGCUGCUGGUUUUCAUUAACCGGCUCGCUUGAAAUGAAUUAGCAGAUCCUUUUUGUAAUCGGUUCCACUCGACGUGAUAAGUAUUUCGCCGAGGACAUACGAAAGUAUGGCCGAGAUAAAGAAAGUCUUUAGAUCCGCUUCUAAUUCUUAGAUAGAGCUUGCUCUACUAAACCCCAUUUUAUGAUCUGGCCUCAAAUCAGGUAGGACUACCCGCUGAACUUAAGCAUAUCAAUAAGCGGAGGAAAAGAAACUAACAAGGAUUCCCCUAGUAACGGCGAGUGAAGCGGGAUGAGCUCAAAUUUAAAAUCUGG